AGAACGAACGCUGGCGGCAUGCCUAAUACAUGCAAGUCGAACGAACACUUCGGUGUUAGUGGCGCACGGGUGCGUAACGCGUGGGAAUCUGCCCUUGGGUUCGGAAUAACAGUUGGAAACGACUGCUAAUACCGGAUGAUAUCGAAAGAUCAAAGAUUUAUCGCCCAGGGAUGAGCCCGCGGUAGGAUUAGCUAGUUGGUGAGGUAAAGGCUCACCAAGGCGACGAUCCUUAGCUGGUCUGAGAGGAU
Molecule: ribosomal RNA, 248 nt
Filed under: uncultured soil bacterium
Lineage: Bacteria
Description: partial 16S ribosomal RNA
Rfam family: Bacterial small subunit ribosomal RNA
Source: RNAcentral